RNAcentral lists this ribosomal RNA (478 nucleotides) under uncultured bacterium. Its description in RNAcentral is "partial 16S ribosomal RNA". It matches the Rfam family "Bacterial small subunit ribosomal RNA", at positions 28 to 523 of the family's 1533-position model. The record is from RNAcentral.
GACGAACGCUGGCGGCGUGCUUAACACAUGCAAGUCGAGCGAUGAAGUUCCUUCGGGAAUGGAUUAGCGGCGGACGGGUGAGUAACACGUGGGUAACCUGCCUCAUAGAGGGGAAUAGCCUUUCGAAAGGAAGAUUAAUACCGCAUAAGAUUGUAGUUUCGCAUGAAACAGCAAUUAAAGGAGUAAUCCGCUAUGAGAUGGACCCGCGUCGCAUUAGCUAGUUGGUGAGGUAACGGCUCACCAAGGCGACGAUGCGUAGCCGACCUGAGAGGGUGAUCGGCCACAUUGGGACUGAGACACGGCCCAGACUCCUACGGGAGGCAGCAGUGGGGAAUAUUGCACAAUGGGGGAAACCCUGAUGCAGCAACGCCGCGUGAGUGAUGACGGUCUUCGGAUUGUAAAACUCUGUCUUCAGGGACGAUAAUGACGGUACCUGAGGAGGAAGCCACGGCUAACUACGUGCCAGCCGCCGCAGUAA